Molecule: non-coding RNA, 78 nt
Organism: Paragonimus heterotremus
Lineage: Eukaryota; Metazoa; Platyhelminthes; Trematoda; Plagiorchiida; Troglotrematidae
Source: the annotation of a GenBank genome assembly
GGCUUCGUAGCUCAUCUGCUAGAGCAUUUAUUGCGUUUGGACAUGUUCCUGUCGCUGGUUCGAAUCCAGCCAAAGUCU